ACGAACGCUGGCGGCGUGCCUAAUACAUGCAAGUCGAGCGAGUGGUUUUAACAGAAUACCUUCGGGUAGGAAGAUAAAAGCGCGAGCGGCGGAUGGGUGAGUAACACGUGGGUAACCUACCCUAUAGACUGGGAUACCAUUUGGAAACAGAUGCUAAUACCGAAUAAGAGCGAGAAGCGCAUGCUUCAAGUUUAAAAGGCGGCUUUCGAGCUGUCACUAAAGGAUGGACCUGCGGUGCAUUAGCUAGUUGGUAAGGUAACGGCUUACCAAGGCAAUGAUGCAUAGCCGAGUUGAGAGACUGAACGGCCACAUUGGGACUGAGACACGGCCCAAACUCCUACGGGAGGCAGCAGUAGGGAAUCUUCCACAAUGGACGCAAGUCUGAUGGAGCAACGCCGCGUGAGUGAAGAAGGUUUUCGGAUCGUAAAGCUCUGUUGUUGGUGAAGAAGGACAGUAAGAGUAACUGCUUAUUGUUUGACGGUAAUCAACCAGAAAGUCACGGCUAACUACGUGC
RNAcentral lists this ribosomal RNA (514 nucleotides) under uncultured Bacillota bacterium. RNAcentral describes it as "bacterial SSU rRNA". It matches the Rfam family "Bacterial small subunit ribosomal RNA", at positions 29 to 508 of the family's 1533-position model. Lineage: Bacteria; Bacillati; Bacillota. The record is from RNAcentral.